Nicotiana tabacum (common tobacco) is the source of this 1237-nucleotide non-coding RNA. The record is from RefSeq and is a predicted model, not a curated record. NCBI's taxonomy places the organism in Eukaryota, Viridiplantae, Streptophyta, Magnoliopsida, Solanales, Solanaceae.
UACAAUGUUCAAUUGAUUUCUUUCUCGGCUCUAUUUUGAGAAUGAUUUGCAACGAUACAAAGUCAUUUCCUCAUGGGAUGUUCUUUCAGUUUUUAGCUGAAGUUUGCGCUCUCUCUAUUAACUAAGUAUUCAAUCAGCGCUGCCCUCCUCCCUCUCUAAGCUGGAAAUCUUUCAUUGCCCUAAACUCCAAUCUCUUCCAGUAAAAGGGAUGCGCUCUUCCAUCUCUACGCUAUGGAUUCGCAACUGCCCAUUGCUCAAACCAAGUCUAGAAUUUGGGAAGGGGGAUUACUGGCCAAAAAUUGCUCAAAUUCCCACCAUAAAAGUCGACGAGGAAUAUCUGUAAUGACUAUAACGAGUGGCACUCUGAUAAAUAUUCCUUCUCGACGAAAUUCUCAACAUAAAUCCUUCUGUUAUUUCUGCCGCCUUCAUCUAAUUAACCUCACAUCUCAUACAAAUAUAUGAAUGCAACAAAGUCCUCAUAAACCAACACAAGUAGUUCUUGGAUAGCUCAAGCAGGCGAUCCUGAUAUCUUGACGGACUUCAUUGUUCCUGAAAAUCAAACUGGAGAUACAAUAAGUGGGAAUUUCUUCACCUUCACAGGCAUGCGCGGAAUUUUUGGCAGUGUUAUUACAAGCUUUAAGUCGACAAAAGCUAGCAAAGCUGGACUUUCCAGCUUUGAAUGGACAGUGUACUUCACUUGCUGCCCUUCAGUUCCCUGGCGAUGGUGUCAACCUGCCCCACACUUACCCUCGUGCAUCCGAGCUAUUAUUAGUAGUGCAGGGCAGUCUAGAAGUUGGAUUGUUAGAUAGUAGUAACAAGCUCUAUACUUAGACUCUAAAAGUUUGUGUGCAUUAUCAGUACAAUACUGAUUGGAAUAAAUCAGCUACAGCUGUUUCUGCAUUUGGUAGCGUGAAUGCAGAAAUCGUUUUCACUUCCAACGACUCUGUUUGCUACUGGUAUCGAUGAUCAGAUUCUUGUGAAGCCAUUCAAGACUAAUGUUGCUACCAUUCAAAAUAUCAAGGCUGGUCUGGUCUUUCAUCCUAGACUGCAGAUCAUAAAAUUGCGCCAGUAGAUCCAAUCAUUGAUCCGUCUCAUUCAAAUUUUAUGUAGCCAAGUUUUCAAGAGCCUCACCUCCCCACCAAACAGGCCUUGAAAACCACCAUUAUGGAAAAAGUUGCAAUUUCAUCUUUUUCUUUAUCUGCCUAAGUUUUGAUGGGCACAAUUAUGCGUAACCAAU